CCAACCUGGCCUUCACCACGGGAUAACCCGGCGAAAGUCGGACUAAUACCGUAUGUUGUCCAUUGACGGCAUCCGAUUUGGACGAAAGGCUUAGCGGUGAGGGAUGGGGAUGCGUCCGAUUAGCUCGACGGCGGGGUAACGGCCCACCGUGGCAACGAUCGGUAGGGGUUCUGAGAGGAAGGUCCCCCACACUGGAACUGAGACACGGUCCAGACUCCUACGGGAGGCAGCAGUGAGGAAUAUUGGUCAAUGGGCGGAAGCCUGAACCAGCCAAGUAGCGUGCAGGAUGACGGCCCUAUGGGUUGUAAACUGCUUUUAUGCGGGGAUAAAGGGGCCCACGUGUGGGUUUUUGCAGGUACCGCA
RNAcentral lists this ribosomal RNA (363 nucleotides) under Prevotella sp. oral taxon 317. RNAcentral's name for it is "bacterial SSU rRNA". It matches the Rfam family "Bacterial small subunit ribosomal RNA", at positions 121 to 482 of the family's 1533-position model. Lineage: Bacteria; Pseudomonadati; Bacteroidota; Bacteroidia; Bacteroidales; Prevotellaceae. The record is from RNAcentral.